UCUAAGUAUCCGCUGGAUAGCGAGAUACUGAGAUACUGGAGCCGGCUGAGCCGUAAAGGCCACUUAAUGCAAGGCGGCGUCAUCCUUGAAGGCAAACAAACGGGCAAAAAAGGAUUCUCGGAAAGUUCCGGCCGGCAUGAUAAAUAGCCAGGGUUUGGGCCAAGUUUCAGCCAUAGACGUGAGCGGACUGGGAAAUUGGCCCAAAAACGAGGGCCUCAUGUCCCAUCAUUCCAGAAGCUUGACUAUUAUUCACCUGAAGCCAACAUUAAAGAGGGGCGUGCUUAAGUGGAAUCGAAAACAAAUUUAUUUAACAGCCAUCAAAGGGGAUUGGCCCUCUCUACGACUGUCAUAAUGUCGUAAAAAAAGUUCCCUGGCAGAUCCGGCUUAUUGAAUAUGAUUCCCAGAUGUCCUCCUUACAAACAUCAAAGGCAAUAGGGGGCCGGGGAACCGGGAGCCUGGGAGCCAAGGAUAACGUCGCAGACUCAUGCAUAAUUUAAAGCAAUUUGGCAUUUUGCUGAAUCAAUUUCCACGGCAAGACAAUCAAACGGAAAGUAUUAAGACCUGAACUCCAUUCCAAGUGCUGCAGUGCUUUCUAUGCAAAUUACACUCUCCAGCACUGCAACACUUUUUAUGUAAAUCUGGCCGCCACCUGGUGUGUUGGCCAAGAAAAUAAAAAAACCAUAACAGCCGGGAUGAGGUGAAUUAAAGCGCGAUGUAUAUGCCCGA
Molecule: long non-coding RNA, 726 nt
Organism: Drosophila serrata
Lineage: Eukaryota; Metazoa; Arthropoda; Insecta; Diptera; Drosophilidae
Source: RefSeq, a predicted model, not a curated record